Oncorhynchus tshawytscha (Chinook salmon) is the source of this 580-nucleotide long non-coding RNA. Lineage: Eukaryota; Metazoa; Chordata; Actinopteri; Salmoniformes; Salmonidae. The record is from Ensembl.
GAUGCUGUUUGUCUCUGUAGGACAGUAGUUCAUGUGGCUGUUUGUCUUUGUAGGACAGUAGUUCAGGUGGCUGUUUGUCUUUGUAGGACAGUAGUUCAGGUGGCUGUUUGUCUUUGUAGGACAGUAGUUCAGGUGGCUGUUUGUGUAGAUGCUGUUUGUCUCUGUAGGACAGUAGUUCAGGUUGGUGUUUGUCUCUGUAGGACAGUAAAUCAGGUUGGUGUUUGUCUCUGUAGGACAGUAGUUCAGGUGGCUGUUUGUGUAGAUGCUGUUUGUCUCUGUAGGACAGUAGUUCAGGUUGGUGUUUGUCUCUGUAGGACAGUAGAUCAGGUGGCUGUUUGUCUUUGUAGGACAGUAGUUCAGGUGGCUGUUUGUCUUUGUAGGACAGUAGUUCAGGUGGCUGUUUGUCUCUGUAGGACAGUAGUUCAGGUGGCUGUUUGUCUCUGUAGGACAGUAGUUCAGGUGGCUGUUUGUCUCUGUAGGACAGUAGUUCAGGUGGCUGUUUGUCUUUGUAGGACAGUAGUUCAGGUGGCUGUUUGUGUAGAUGCUGUUUGUCUUUGUAGGACAGUAGUUCAGGUGGCUG